UCUGGGACAAGCCCUGGAAACGGGGUCUAAUACCGGAUAUUGACCACCGCAGGCAUCUGUGGUGGUGGAAAGCUCCGGCGGUGCAGGAUGAGCCCGCGGCCUAUCAGCUAGUUGGUGAGGUAAUGGCUCACCAAGGCGACGACGGGUAGCCGGCCUGAGAGGGCGACCGGCCACACUGGGACUGAGACACGGCCCAGACUCCUACGGGAGGCAGCAGUGGGGAAUAUUGCACAAUGGGCGAAAGCCUGAUGCAGCGACGCCGCGUGAGGGAUGACGGCCUUCGGGUUGUAAACCUCUUUCAGCAGGGAAGAAGCGAAAGUGACGGUACCUGCAGAAGAAGCGCCGGCUAACUACGUGCCAGCAGCCGCGGUAAUACGUAGGGCGCGAGCGUUGUCCGGAAUUAUUGGGCGUAAAGAGCUCGUAGGCGGCUUGUCACGUCGGUUGUGAAAGCCCGGGGCUUAACCCCGGGUCUGCAGUCGAUACGGGCAGGCUAGAGUUCGGUAGGGGAGAUCGGAAUUCCUGGUGUAGCGGUGAAAUGCGCAGAUAUCAGGAGGAACACCGGUGGCGAAGGCGGAUCUCUGGGCCGAUACUGACGCUGAGGAGCGAAAGCGUGGGGAGCGAACAGGAUUAGAUACCCUGGUAGUCCACGCCGUAAACGGUGGGCACUAGGUGUGGGCAACAUUCCACGUUGUCCGUGCCGCAGCUAACGCAUUAAGUGCCCCGCCUGG
Molecule: ribosomal RNA, 728 nt
Filed under: Streptomyces sp.
Lineage: Bacteria; Bacillati; Actinomycetota; Actinomycetes; Kitasatosporales; Streptomycetaceae
Description: bacterial SSU rRNA
Rfam family: Bacterial small subunit ribosomal RNA
Source: RNAcentral